UUGGCGCCGGCGGAGCCAGAGGCGAAGACGUCAUCGGCCUCGGAGCGGGAUCCGCUGGCUGCUUGCUGGCUCCGACCCCAGUCCGGCCGUCCGGCCUGCGCCUGGCGUGUCCCUGGGGAUCCGGCCUGCGCCGCUCUCCGGGCCCAGAGGCGAGGUGGCGGGAGCACUGCCAGCCAAGGGCUGACCUCAAGGAUCCAAGCGGCGGCGUGCCCGCAGCCUCUCCUCCCCGUUCCCUGCACCCCUCCCCGCGCUCCCCUCCGCCACCGCCCGGAUCGGAAAGGGGCUUCCUGCGCUUUUGCAUACACGUGUGCCCCUUUCGCUCAUUGCCUCGUCACCACCAGGCACGGACAGGCUCCCCAGGAGAAGCGAUUUACUUGACCAAUGUCACAAUGCUGGGGGUAGGGGUACAGAGAAGAACCUGAAAUGAGAGUUGGAGAAAAAUUAACAAGUCUGUCGGUGGAAAUGUCGUUCCUACUAAGGAUAACCGGGGUAACAUUACCAACCCCCAUGUGAAGAGACAGAGGAACCGAGGCCAGAGAAGUUACCUAACCCAUCCAAAGGCACACAGCAAACCCUGCAAAGAAGGGAUCCGAUCCUCAUGCACGGAAGAGGGAACUGAGGCACCGGCCAGGAUCCCCGAGCCAGGAAUCCUUCUCAGAGCUGUCUGACUCUGCAGUCUUGCUUCUUUUAGCCCUGUGUCUACAGAAACCUGGUCGUUUUUAUCCGUGGACGAAGAUACCCAUGUCACCACCUGAAUGUGUUCAGGAGAGUCUAGAAAACCUGAGACUUGUCUCAGCAAAACUGCCCGAGUUAUCGCAGAGGAAGAGCUGCAGAGGCUUGGCAGUCCUCUGGGACCUCAGCAUUCCAGAGGCCAGAUGUGUGAGCCUGACGUCACCUCACCAAAUUCCAGGCUGCGCUCUGCUGGCUUGUGAGCCCUGUUCCUCCAUGCCUUCCUCCUCCCUUUCCUCAGGAUGAAAGAGACUGAGUGCUGCUGGCAGCUCCUCCCCAGCAUCUGGCAGAACAUUCUGCCCCAUAGCUGAGCUCCUCUCACUCCCCAGUCAUCCCUGGGGGCGGCUGGGGACUCGCAUUUCCAUUUUCAGUGCACAGCCAGGCACCAGAUCUUUCCAGGACCAGCAGGGCUAGCCGUAUGGGGUCGGGGUUAGGGACAUGAGCUGUGACACCGGACAGAGCUGAGUUCAAAUCCUCCACCUGCUGCUUGUUAGCUGUGCGAUUUUAAGCAAUUAGCUUACCCUCUCUGAGCCUCUGUUUCCCUAUUUGUAAAUGGAGACUGUGGCUGUCAACUCUGAUGCCUUCUUCAUUGAAAGAGUCUCUUCCCAUUUGCUUGCAGCUCUGAAAAAUGAACUAUUCCAUCCUAUCAGUUUUCUUUUUUUAUAUGCACUCCAUCCAUAAGCCAAGAAAAGAAGAAGCUGAUACUAGAGUUUUAAAAUGGAACAGUAAUGUCGUAUAUCUGAAACUAAAGUAAUAUUGCGUGUUAACUAUAGUUCAGUUUUAAAAAAAAUGAAGCAGUAAUAUUUAUAUCCUAUUUACUAUGUGCCAGGAAUCUGUUAUAAGGUACCAUCACUAGCCCCGUUUGACAGAUGAGGAAACUGCGACCCAGAGAGGUAAAACAACUUGCCUAAUGCCACAUGGCCAGUAGAUAGCUGGCUGAGAUUCACACCCAGGCUGUCUGACUUCAGGGUCCAUGCACUUAAGCACUGUGUUGAGAAAAGUAAACAAGAUGAAACCCACAAAGUGUGCGGCAUGAUGCUAGAUGCAUAGUGAAUUCUGAAUAAACGUUUGCUGGUAAUA
This is a long non-coding RNA of Neofelis nebulosa (Clouded leopard), 1809 nucleotides long. RefSeq lists it as uncharacterized. Lineage: Eukaryota; Metazoa; Chordata; Mammalia; Carnivora; Felidae. The record is from RefSeq and is a predicted model, not a curated record. The transcript is spliced from 3 exons.